This 459-nucleotide ribosomal RNA is filed under the name uncultured bacterium. RNAcentral describes it as "bacterial SSU rRNA". It matches the Rfam family "Bacterial small subunit ribosomal RNA", at positions 340 to 786 of the family's 1533-position model. The record is from RNAcentral.
UACGGGAGGGCGAGCAGUGGGGAAGUAAUUGCACAAUGGGCGCAAGCCUGAUGCAGCCAUGCCGCGUGUAUGAAGAAGGCCUUCGGGUUGUAAAGUACUUUCAGUCGUGAGGAAGGUGUUAAGGUUAAUAACCUUAGCAAUUGACGUUAGCGACAGAAGAAGCACCGGCUAACUCCGUGCCAGCAGCCGCGGUAAUACGGAGGGUGCGAGCGUUAAUCGGAAUUACUGGGCGUAAAGGGCACGCAGGCGGUUAAUUAAGUUGGAUGUGAAAUCCCCGGGCUUAACCUGGGAAUGGCAUUCAAGACUGGUUAGCUAGAGUCUUGUAGAGGGGGUAGAAUUCCAUGUGUAGCGGUGAAAUGCGUAGAGAUGUGGAGGAAUACCGGUGGCGAAGGCGGCCCCCUGGACAAAGACUGACGCUCAUGUGCGAAAGCGUGGGGGAGCAAACAGGGAUUAGAUACC